Molecule: ribosomal RNA, 233 nt
Filed under: uncultured bacterium
Lineage: Bacteria
Description: partial 16S ribosomal RNA
Rfam family: Bacterial small subunit ribosomal RNA
Source: RNAcentral
GAUCAUGGCUCAGGACGAACGCUGGCGGCGUGCCUAACACAUGCAAGUCGAACGAAGCUCUACGAUACAAGACUUCGGUCAAGUUGAACGGAUGACUUAGUGGCGGACGGGUGAGUAACGCGUGAGGAACCUGCCUUUCAGUGGGGGACAACAGUUGGAAACGACUGCUAAUACCGCAUAAUGUAUUCUGACCGCAUGAUCGGAAUACCAAAAGAUUUAUUGCUGAAAGAUGG